GUGAAGUGGAUGAUCCUAUGCUGCCGAGAAAAGCCUCUAGUGAGUGUUGUGGCGGCCCGUACCCUAAACCGACUCAGGUGGUCAGGUAGAGAAUACCAAGGCGAUCGGGUGAACUGUGGUUAAGGAACUCGGCAAAUUGCCCCCGUAACUUCGGGAGAAGGGGGACCUCUGCUGGUGAUGGGCUUUACGUUCUGAGCUGGUGGGGGUCGCAGUGGCCAGGGGGAAGCGACUGUUUACUAAAAACACAGGUCCGUGCGAAGUCGUAAGACGAUGUAUACGGACUGACGCCUGCCCGGUGCCGGAACGUUAAGGGGACCGCUUAGCCAGCUUCGGUUGGCGAAGGUGAGAACUUAAGCGCCGGUAAACGGCGGUGGUAACUAUAACCAUCCUAAGUUAGCGAAAUUCCUUGUCGGGUAAGUUCCGACCUGCACGAAUGGCGUAACGACUUCCCCGCUGUCUCAACCACAGACCCGGCGAAAUUGCACUACGAGUAAAGAUGCUCGUUUCGCGCAGCAGGACGGAAAGACCCCGGGACCUUCACUACAGCUUGACAUUGGCGUUUGGAACGUCUUGUGUAGGAUAGGUGGGAGACUAGGAAGCUGUCACGCUAGUGAUGGUGGAGUCAUUGGUGAAAUACCACUCUGGUCGUUUUGAACGUCUAACUCUGGUCCGUGAUCCGGAUCGGGGACAGUGUCUGGUGGGUAGUUUAACUGGGGCGGUUGCCUCCUAAAGAGUAACGGAGGCGCCCAAAGGUUCCCUCAGCCUGGUUGGCAAUCAGGUGUUGAGUGUAAGUGCACAAGGGAGCUUGACUGUGAGACUGACAGGUCGAGCAGGAGCGAAAGCUGGGACUAGUGAUCCGGCAUCGGCGUGUGGAAGCGGUGUCGCUCAACGGCUAAAAGGUACCCCGGGGAUAACAGGCUGAUCUUCCCCAAGAGUCCAUAUCGACGGGAUGGUUUGGCACCUCGAUGUCGGCUCGUCGCAUCCUGGGGCUGGAGUAAGUCCCAAGGGUUGGGCUGUUCGCCCAUUAAAGCGGUACGCGAGCUGGGUUUAGAACGUCGCGAGACAGUUCGGUCCCUAUCCGCUGCGCGCGCAGGAGACUUGAAGGGGGCUGUCCCUAGUACGAGAGGACCGGGACGGACGAACCUCUGGUGUGCCAGUUGUACCGCCAGGUGCACGGCUGGUUGGCUACGUUCGGAAGGGAUAACCGCUGAAAGCAUCUAAGCGGGAAGCUCGCCUUGAGAUGAGGUCUCCCACCCCGUGAGGGGGUAAGGCUCCCGGUAGAUCACCGGGUUGAUAGGCCGGAGGUGGAAGCACGGUAACGUGUGGAGCUGACCGGUACUAAUAGGCCGAGGACUUGACC
Molecule: ribosomal RNA, 1360 nt
Filed under: metagenome
Description: bacterial LSU rRNA
Rfam family: Bacterial large subunit ribosomal RNA
Source: RNAcentral